AAUCUGCAUGGCCGAAAGCCUCAGGUUUCUGGAGGAAGGUUCGUCCGCUCCAGGUCAGUCGGGAGCUAAGGUGAGGCCUAACGGCGUAGCCGAUGCACAGACGGUAGAGAUUCCGUCACCACCAAAAGAGUUAAACACAGGGACACAUAUGAAGUCUCGGAGCCGGGUGUUGGUUCCGGUAGCGAUCGAGGGAAGUUAGUACCGAAGUCCGGGAUGGAAGAUGGCGAGAAAAGCUGUGUGUAUUUCUGCGGUGCCCGUACCGCAAACCGACACAGGUAGGUAGGAAGAAGAUUCUAAGGCCAACGGGAGAAGGGUUGUUAAGGAACUCGGCAAAUUGACCCCGUAACUUCGGGAGAAGGGGUGCUGCAGCAAUGCAGCCGCAGAGAAUCGGCCCAAGCAACUGUUUACCAAAAACACAGGUUUGUGCUAAAUCGAAAGAUGACGUAUACGAGCUGACGCCUGCCCGGUGCUGGAAGGUUAAGAGGAGAUGUGCAAGCAUUGAAUCGAAGCCCCAGUGAACGGCGGCCGUAACUAUAACGGUCCUAAGGUAGCGAAAUUCCUUGUCAGGUAAGUUCUGACCCGCAUGAAAGGCGUAAUGAUUUGGGCACUGUCUCAACAGCCCGCCCGGCGAAAUUGUAGUACCGGUGAAGAUGCCGGUUACCCGCGACAAGACGGAAAGACCCCAUGGAGCUUUACUGUAGCCUAAUAUUGGGUUUCGAUGUUGCAUGCACAGGAUAGAUGGGACACUAGGAAGCAGGUGCUUUGGCGCUUGUGGAGUGGCCGUUGGGAUACCAUCCUUGCGAUAUUGGAAUUCUAACCUGCGCCUUUGAAUCAAGGCGGGGGACAUUGUUAGGUGGGCAGUUUGACUGGGGCGGUCGCCUCCUAAAGAGUAACGGAGGCGUUCAAAGGUUCGCUCAGCUUGAACGGAAAUCAAGCAAAAGAGUGCAAACGCAGAAGCGAGCCUAACUGCGAGACUGACGGGUCGAGCAGUAACGAAAGUUGGAGUUAGUGAUCCGGUGGUAUGUGAGUGGAAAUGCCAUCGCUCAACGGAUAAAAGUUACCCUGGGGAUAACAGGCUGAUCUCCCCCAAGAGUCCACAUCGACGGGGAGGUUUGGCACCUCGAUGUCGGCUCAUCGCAUCCUGGGGCUGUAUUCGGUCCCAAGGGUUUGGCUGUUCGCCAAUUAAAGCGGUACGCGAGCUGGGUUCAGAACGUCGUGAGACAGUUCGGUCCCUAUCUGUCGUGGGCGCAGGAUAUUUGAUGGGAGCUGUUCCUAGUACGAGAGGACCGGAGCGGACGUACCUCUGGCGCACCAGUUGUUCUGCCAAGAGCAUAGCUGGGCAACUAUGUACGGAUCGGAUAAACGCUGAAAGCAUCUAAGCGUGAAGCCGACCCAAAGAUAAGAUAUCCCAUUGUUUUAAACAAGUAAGACCCCUUGAAGACUACAAGGUUGAUAGGCACGAUGUGUAAGUGGAGCGAUCCAUUCAGCAAGCGUGUACUAAUAGGUCGAGGGCUUGACCA
This 1520-nucleotide ribosomal RNA is filed under the name human gut metagenome. RNAcentral describes it as "bacterial LSU rRNA". It matches the Rfam family "Bacterial large subunit ribosomal RNA", at positions 1326 to 2925 of the family's 2925-position model. The record is from RNAcentral.